GGAAAGCUUCAAAAAAUGAAUAAGCUCAUUAGACAAUUUCGCAGUAUGAUAGCUUUCCAUUGUAAGUUUACCUCACGCUCAAAAUCAAACAUCAAUGGAGAAUGCACCCCCUUUUUUACUUGUUCUGAUGAAUGGAGUUCAAUUAGAUAAUUCUCCAACAGAAUAGCUGCAGCAAGCACCUGCUUCACAUCUUCCGAGAGGCAAGAUAUAUUUUUGAGAAAUGGGUCCAGUCUUUC
This 236-nucleotide unclassified non-coding RNA is filed under the name Hevea brasiliensis (rubber tree). The record is from RNAcentral. Lineage: Eukaryota; Viridiplantae; Streptophyta; Magnoliopsida; Malpighiales; Euphorbiaceae.